Non-coding RNA from Exaiptasia diaphana, 67 nucleotides. The record is from the annotation of a RefSeq genome assembly. NCBI's taxonomy places the organism in Eukaryota, Metazoa, Cnidaria, Anthozoa, Actiniaria, Aiptasiidae.
GUUUCCGUUGAGUGGUUAUGUGUGCUUUACACGCACAAGGUCCUCGGUUCGAACCCGAGCGGAAACA